CCUUGGGCAAAUAUUGUAAUUUCCCACAAAUAAAUACAGAUAGAGAGGAAAGAGAUUGCAAGCUGGACACAUUGUGGUCCGCCAGAGAUAUCAAAUUGGAGCAGAAGCUGACACGCAAACGGGUUAGAGAUGUGCAGUAUGCAAGCCCACUCGGUAGACUUAUUAAUCCAUCACAUCCCAAAAUAUCCAAAUUAGUGAGGGACGUGAGGUUGUCUAAACUGGGAAUAGCCUCUAGAUUAGGGCAAUGAUGGACACGCAAAGAGGUAAGAGAUGUGCAGUAUGCAAGCCCACUCGGUAGACUUAUUAAUCCAUCACAUUGAAAAAUAGUCAAAAUAGUAAGAGAUGUGCAGUAUGCAAGCCCACUCGGUAGACUUAUUAAUCCAUCACAAUCCAUAAUAAUCAACUCAGUGAGGGACGUGAGGUUGUCUAAACUGGGAAAAGCCUCUAGAUUAGGGCAAUUCCGUAUUUCCAUCUUCUCAAGAGAGACGGGGGUUUGUAGCCCAUGACCCGACAAAGUCCUCAAAUUUCGACAAUCUGAGAUAUAUAGUGUGCG
Molecule: long non-coding RNA, 553 nt
Filed under: Malus domestica (apple)
Lineage: Eukaryota; Viridiplantae; Streptophyta; Magnoliopsida; Rosales; Rosaceae
Description: long non-coding RNA (MDOM_LNC001382)
Source: RNAcentral